RNAcentral lists this ribosomal RNA (262 nucleotides) under uncultured prokaryote. RNAcentral describes it as "partial 16S ribosomal RNA". It matches the Rfam family "Bacterial small subunit ribosomal RNA", at positions 524 to 784 of the family's 1533-position model. The record is from RNAcentral.
UACGUAGGGUGCGAGCGUUGUCCGGAAUUACUGGGCGUAAAGGGCUCGUAGGUGGUUUGUCACGUCGUCUGUGAAAUUCCGGGGCUUAACCUCGGGCGUGCAGGCGAUACGGGCAAUACUUGAGUGCUGUAGGGGAGACUGGAAUUCCUGGUGUAGCGGUGAAAUGCGCAGAUAUCAGGAGGAACACCAAUGGCGAAGGCAGGUCUCUGGGCAGUUACUGACGCUGAGGAGCGAAAGCAUGGGUAGCGAACAGGAUUAGAUA